Molecule: unclassified non-coding RNA, 244 nt
Filed under: plant metagenome
Description: partial contains small subunit ribosomal RNA and internal transcribed spacer 1
Rfam family: Eukaryotic small subunit ribosomal RNA (bases 1-46)
Source: RNAcentral
CAGUCGUAACAAGGUUUCCGUAGGUGAACCUGCGGAAGGAUCAUUACUGUGGACUCGGUCUCGGGGUCUGGUUUCACAGGGCGAAAGCCCUCGCCAGCUCCCAGAUCGUUAUGCCAACCCGUGUCUAUUUACUCUUGUUGCUUUGGCGGGCCGUGGCCUCCACUGCGGGCUUUGCUCGUACGUGCCCGCCAGGGGACCAAACUCUGAAUGUUAGUGAUGACUGAGUACUAUCUAAUAGUUAAAA